UACGGAGGGGGCUAGCGUUGUUCGGAAUUACUGGGCGUAAAGCGCACGUAGGCGGCUUUGUAAGUUAGAGGUGAAAGCCUGGUGCUCAACAACCAGAACUGCCUUUAAGACUGCAUCGCUUGAAUCAUGGAGAGGCGGGUGGAAUUCCGAGUGUAGAGGUGAAAUUCGUAGAUAUCGGGAGGAACACCGGUGGCGAAGGCGGCGAUCUGGGUCGAUACUGACGCUGAGGUGCGAAAGCGUGGGGAGCAAACAGG
This 254-nucleotide ribosomal RNA is filed under the name uncultured bacterium. Its description in RNAcentral is "partial 16S ribosomal RNA". It matches the Rfam family "Bacterial small subunit ribosomal RNA", at positions 524 to 776 of the family's 1533-position model. The record is from RNAcentral.